RNAcentral lists this unclassified non-coding RNA (230 nucleotides) under Hevea brasiliensis (rubber tree). Lineage: Eukaryota; Viridiplantae; Streptophyta; Magnoliopsida; Malpighiales; Euphorbiaceae. The record is from RNAcentral.
CCUUGAUAUAUGGCAAGGUCAUCAAGAGCGCUCAAAGCAACACCGCCUGUGACGGUAAUCAACAAAAAAGAAACAGCCUUACGACCAAAAGACCUGCUCUUUUCUUCAUCCACAGGCUUGGCGGUACUGGAAAGCUGUGACGCUGAAGAACUCCUGAAGAAGGAAAUGAACCUCCUGCCCAGCAUGAUUGGGGAACUUUCUCUUUCCCAAGUUCACCAGUACCGUUUGGU